GAUCCUGGCUCAGGAUGAACGCUGGCGGCGUGCCUAAUACAUGCAAGUCGAACGCGAGCACUUGUGCUCGAGUGGCGGACGGGUGAGUAAUACAUAAGUAACCUGCCCUAGACAGGGGGAUAACUAUUGGAAACGAUAGCUAAGACCGCAUAGGUACGGACACUGCAUGGUGACCGUAUUAAAAGUGCCCCAAAGCACUGGUAGAGGAUGGACUUAUGGCGCAUUAGCUGGUUGGCGGGG
This 240-nucleotide ribosomal RNA is filed under the name uncultured bacterium. RNAcentral describes it as "partial 16S ribosomal RNA". It matches the Rfam family "Bacterial small subunit ribosomal RNA", at positions 15 to 257 of the family's 1533-position model. The record is from RNAcentral.